AACGAACGCUGGCGGCAUGCCUAACACAUGCAAGUCGAACGAGACCUUCGGGUCUGGUGGCGCACGGGUGCGUAACGCGUGGGAAUCUACCCUUGGGUUCGGAAUAACAGUUAGAAAUGACUGCUAAUACCGGAUGAUGACGUAAGUCCAAAGAUUUAUCGCCCAAGGAUGAGCCCGCGUAAGAUUAGCUUGUUGGUGGGGUAAUGGCCUACCAAGGCGACGAUCUUUAGCUGGUCUGAGAGGAUGAUCAGCCACACUGGGACGGAGACACGGCCCAGACUCCUACGGGAGGCAGCAGUGGGGAAUAUUGGACAAUGGGCGAAAGCCUGAUCCAGCAAUGCCGCGUGAGUGAUGAAGGCCUUAGGGUUGUAAAGCUCUUUUACCAGGGAUGAUAAUGACAGUACCUGGAGAAUAAGCUCCGGCUAACUCCGUGCCAGCCGCCGCCGUAA
This 449-nucleotide ribosomal RNA is filed under the name uncultured bacterium. RNAcentral's name for it is "partial 16S ribosomal RNA". It matches the Rfam family "Bacterial small subunit ribosomal RNA", at positions 29 to 523 of the family's 1533-position model. The record is from RNAcentral.